RNAcentral lists this ribosomal RNA (253 nucleotides) under uncultured bacterium. Its description in RNAcentral is "partial 16S ribosomal RNA". It matches the Rfam family "Bacterial small subunit ribosomal RNA", at positions 524 to 776 of the family's 1533-position model. The record is from RNAcentral.
UACGUAGGUGGCAAGCGUUGUCCGGAAUUAUUGGGCGUAAAGCGCGCGCAGGUGGUUUCUUAAGUCUGAUGUGAAAGCCCACGGCUCAACUGGGGAGGGUCAUUCGAUACUGAUCGACUCGAAGGCAGGAGAGGGUAGUGGAAUUCCCGGUGUAGUGGUGAAAUGCGUAGAUAUCGGGAGGAACACCAGUGGCGAAGGCGACUACCUGGCCUGUUCUUGACGCUGAGGCGCGAAAGCUAGGGGAGCAAACGGG